This 266-nucleotide ribosomal RNA is filed under the name uncultured Staphylococcus sp. RNAcentral's name for it is "partial 16S ribosomal RNA". It matches the Rfam family "Bacterial small subunit ribosomal RNA", at positions 96 to 355 of the family's 1533-position model. Lineage: Bacteria; Bacillati; Bacillota; Bacilli; Caryophanales; Staphylococcaceae. The record is from RNAcentral.
CGGCGGACGGGUGAGUAACACGUGGAUAACCUACCUAUAAGACUGGGAUAACUUCGGGAAACCGGAGCUAAUACCGGAUAAUAUAUUGAACCGCAUGGUUCAAUAGUGAAAGACGGUUUUGCUGUCACUUAUAGAUGGAUCCGCGCCGCAUUAGCUAGUUGGUAAGGUAACGGCUUACCAAGGCAACGAUGCGUAGCCGACCUGAGAGGGUGAUCGGCCACACUGGAACUGAGACACGGUCCAGACUCCUACGGGAGGCAGCAGCU